AUGAUAAAUUCACCCCAUGCUUAUGAACAAAAUAAAGCUUUUACUAAACAUAUUGUUGAUGCUAUGAUGAAAGCUUUGGAAGAAAAUUUGGAAUUGGAAGUUUCAAUUCCUGGAAAAUUGCAUGAUGAGUGGGAACCUACUAUCAAAGUCAAGAUUAAAAAUUAUGAGUGUUUUGCUUUGUGUGACUUGGGUGCUAGUGUUUCUACAAUUCUGAAAUCUUUAUGUGAUGUGCUUGGUCUUACUAAUCUUGAAGAAUGUUCCUUGAAUUUGCACUUGGCGGAUUCUACUAUUAAAAACCCUAUGGGAAGAAUUAAUGAUGUUCUUAUUCUUGCAAAUAUGAAUUGUGUGCCCAUAGAUUUUAUUGUUCUUGAUAUUGAUUGCAAUCCAUCUUGUCCAAUUAUUCUUGGUAGACCAUUUUUACACACUAUCGGUGCCGUGAUUGAUAUGAAAGAAGGCAAUAUUAAGUUCCAAUUUCCUUUGAGGAAAGGCAUGGAACACUUUCCUAGAACUAGAAUUAAGCCACCUUAUGAAUAA
Molecule: ribosomal RNA, 534 nt
Filed under: Triticum aestivum (bread wheat)
Lineage: Eukaryota; Viridiplantae; Streptophyta; Magnoliopsida; Poales; Poaceae
Description: partial small subunit ribosomal RNA
Source: RNAcentral